AACGUAGGAGACAAACGUUAUCCGGAGUUACUGGGCGUAAAGGGCGUGUAGGUGGUUUUGUAAGUCUGGCGUGAAAUUUUUCGGCUUAACCGGGAAAGGUCGUCGGAUACUGCAGAACUAGAGGACGGUAGAGGCGUGUGGAAUUCCGGGUGUAGUGGUGAAAUGCGUAGAUAUCGGGAGGAACACCAGUGGCGAAGGCGACUACCUGGCCUGUUCUUGACGCUGAGGCGCGAAAGCUAGGGGAGCAAACGGG
RNAcentral lists this ribosomal RNA (253 nucleotides) under uncultured bacterium. RNAcentral describes it as "partial 16S ribosomal RNA". It matches the Rfam family "Bacterial small subunit ribosomal RNA", at positions 524 to 776 of the family's 1533-position model. The record is from RNAcentral.